Molecule: unclassified non-coding RNA, 204 nt
Filed under: soil metagenome
Description: partial contains 5.8S ribosomal RNA, internal transcribed spacer 2, and large subunit ribosomal RNA
Source: RNAcentral
AACAAGGCGUACCUGCGGACCUGCGGAAGGAUCAUUACCGAGUUUACAACUCCCAAACCCCUGUGAACAUACCAAUUGUUGCCUCGGCGGAUCAGCCCGCUCCCGGUAAAACGGGACGGCCCGCCAGAGGACCCCUAAACUCUGUUUCUAUAUGUAACUUCUGAGUAAAACCAUAAAUAAAUCAAAACUUUCAGCAAUGGAUCU